This is a long non-coding RNA of Papaver somniferum (opium poppy), 2491 nucleotides long. RefSeq lists it as uncharacterized. The transcript is spliced from 6 exons. The record is from RefSeq and is a predicted model, not a curated record. NCBI's taxonomy places the organism in Eukaryota, Viridiplantae, Streptophyta, Magnoliopsida, Ranunculales, Papaveraceae.
UUUCUGCGCCUCACUCCAGCUGAAGAAGAAGGCAUCUUAUAACGGCUAUACUCUAAAAUCAUUUACUCAAAAGGUAUCACUGAAAUCAACAGCUCUAUAUGUAAUUGUGUUUGCAAGAUUUAGAUUGCCUUAAUUUUGAAUUGUUAAAUUGCAACUGGAUUUACUCCUAUCAGAUCAGAUGUGAUUCAUUAGAAGUUGAUGUUCGAUGCUGUUGAAAUGGAUUUUUCAUAUUAUUCGUUGUUAGAUUAUUCUGUGCAGUUGUUUGGUUAUGGUUAUGGUUUGGUUUGGCUCUGGUUUUACAAUAGCUGGUUUCUUAGUUAUCAGAACCCAUACACUAAAGAAUACAAAAGUAAAUUGGCUCCUUAAUCUGGGUUUAUUAGCCAGCGAUGGACUUUUAAAACUUACCCUAGCAGUUGGAUCCAGGUGCAUGUUUAAUUUGAUGUUUGUUAACUACUGCGAAGGUUAUCGCAGCAAUCGGGCAAUUCUGCAUAUGUGCAGUUGUUGCUGGGAGUAUACUAGAGAUCAUUGUAGUUUAUGCAAUUCAGUAAUUCUCCAACUCAAGGUCAUUUUUAGAGUACACCGUCUCCUCCAUAUAAUUAGGGGUCGGAAUUGACAAUCUUCUGGUUCUUUCUGGUUGGAGGGAUUCCCAUAUGCUCUUGGUGACAAUGGCAAUUGGCUCCCUUCUGGUUCUUUCUGAUUGGAGGGAUUCCCAUAUGUUCCCAGUGACAAUGGCAAUUGGCUCCCUUCUGGUUCUUUCUGAUUGGAGGGAUUCCCAUAUGCUCCCAGUGACAAUGGCAAUUGGUUCCCAUCGCUUGACUCAGCAGGCUGGUUAUUAAUUUGAUAGAUUUUGUUGGUGUUAAUUGUGCUAUUGGGACGUUUUUUCCAAAGAGUCACCAAGAGAAUUACGGUGAUUGAGGAAUUGGCUGGAGUAGAUGUAUUUAGCAAGGACCUUCUACAACCUACUGAUUUAUCAUUCUCCCUGUUGAGUUCCCAGUGCUGAUUCUCCUAGUAUGCUAAAGCUAAACGUCUUAAGAUGUUCGAAAGGAAUCCAUGCAAGGCAGGAUCGCUAUUUUGAUCUGUGAUAAAUUGUGGUGAUAGAAUUGAUAGUGCAUUGAAAGACGUGGCUGGUACUCCCCAUGCCAGGGGUUAUCCUUAAAAGUUGUUUGGCUAUGGUUUUAUGUUAGAACCAUCUACUAAAGAAUACAAAAUAAAUGCUCUGCCUAACCUGGAAUUGAAAAACAAAGAUAAACAGCUUACACUUACCCAAGCUGGAUGCAUGUGCAUUUUGAAUUGGUACUUUUCUCUCCAUGAGUUCGUGCUGAAAAGCUUUUUGGAGCUUGGAUUGAAUGUAUGUUCGAAGAUCAGCUUCUAAUGGUUGGUUGUGCAUAAAGCUCUCAAUUGCUUUCCUUGGCUGAACCUAAGGAGAAUGCUGUUGGCCUUGCUGGUUGUGGUCAUAUAACUGAAGCUUAUUUUGGUCAGGUUGGAGGUGGUAGUUAUGCUGGUGAGGUUGAAGGUUCAGGGUGAUUCUUCUACAACCUACUGCUUUAUCAUUCUCCCUGUGUAGAGUUCCUAGUGGUGAUUCUCCUUAUGCUAAAAGCUAAAUCCGUUCAGAUGUUAGCUAGGUGUGUUUUGUUCUGUAAAUUGUGGUGACAGAGUUGAUAGUGCAGCGAAAGACAUGGCUGGUACUCUCCAAGGAUUUAAGCUGCAAGUUGAAACAAUGAAAAGUUAAGACAAAAUGUAAAAAACAAGAAGCAGAAGGUUGUAUUCGCUACUAGAUCAGAAUGCAUGUGGGUUUGUGAUAAUGGAAGCUUUCUGAGAAGAUCAAAGUUGACUAUUUAUAAUGGGGAGAAACUGUUUCAGGAAUGCGCUACAUUAUGCACUUUUGUAAAUUAAUUCAGUCACACACCAUCUUCUCCAUUGAUUCAGUUUCAGUUAGUUUGUCUUCCCAGAGCGAUGGCAUUAUGUUUGUGAAGGAUGUUAGCUUGUGUCUUCUUAAAGAUAAGCUUUUGGGUGAUCAAGAUUCAUUUCCUGGUAAUUGGAAGCACUUGGGCUUAAUCAAGAAUUAGCUUUACUCUUUGGCAAAAGCAUGUUAAGUUGCUCGGUACAACAGUCAACAUCUGCAGAACAGACAACCAUUUCCGUCGAAGAAGCUUGAUUUUAGUUUCUCACUGGAAAUUUGAAAGCUUCACUCAAUCAUUUGGGGUUAUUUAUUUCCUACACUGACUGGUGGCUCAAGUUUUGAAUGGCACAAAGGCCUCGGGAUACUGGCUUUCAACAUCAAAGCUCUCAUCUCUUCUGGAGACAGUUCUCCUCCCUGAGAGUACUCUUUUCGGGUCAUGGGUAUUCAGUUUCCUCCCUGUGUUACAUCAUUUCUUGCAGUUGGCUUUGUGUUCAUCCAACUUGUGUUGAAAAAACAAAUGCUGAAUUCAAAUGAACUUUGAGAUUGGACAAGAUUUGAUUUCAAUUGCAUUACUUGAACAUUUCUAUUUGA